UGGUGACGGCUCGGGCUAGUUCGUGCACUCCUGUCAUGGGGUGUCGAAGCGUUCGAUAAUCGAUCGGAGAACCGUAACGGUGAGAAGAUCGAGAAGGCGUGAGCAAAAGACGAAUGAGGCCAGGGUCCCGUGAAAAGCCGCAGAGGUGACCGUACCGAGAACUGACACAGGUGCCCCUGGGUGAGCAGCCUAAGGUGUGACGGGCAAAGUACCGCGAAGGAACUCGGCAAAAUAGCUCUGUAACUUCGGGAGAAGGAGUGCCAGCUUAGAGAUAAGCUGGUCGCAGUGACCAGGGGACUCCGACUGUUUAAUAAAAACAUAGGCGACUGCUAGACCGAAAGGUUGCGUAUAGUCGCUGAAUCCUGCUCAGUGCCGGUAUCUGAAAUCGGGUUUCAACCCGGCGAAGGACCGGUAAACAGCGGGGGUAACUAUGACCCUCUUAAGGUAGCGUAAUACCUUGUCGCUUAAUUGGCGACUUGCAUGAAUGGCACAACGAGAGUCCCACUGUCUCCGCGGUACGUCCGGCGAAAUUGACUAUUACUGGCGCACAGUCCAGUAACCUCAACCUGCAAGCGAAGACCCCGUAGAGCUUUACUGCAGCCUGGCGCUGUACAUUCGCACACUUUGUGCUGAGUAGACGGGAGAUGCUAAUCCUCGGGACGCUAGUCCCGGGAGUAGUCGUCCAUAGAGACACCGUCCUUAGUGUGUGGCUGUACUCACUCUUCAUGAGAACACCGCUUGGUGGGCAGUUUGGGUGGGGCGCCACGCGCCCGAAAACCUAACAGGCGUGCCCAAAGGUCAGCUUAGGUGGUUCAGUCUCCACCGUUAACCGUAAGGGGAAAAGCUGGCUUGACGUGGAUCGGACCAAUAACGAUCGACGAUGCGAAAGCAGGGCCUAACGAACCAAUGUGCCUCAUUUCUGGGGGCCAUUGAUAACAGAAAAGUUACCUCGGGGAUAAUUGAGUUGUCACCAGCAAGAGCACAUAUCGACCUGGUGGCUUGCUACUUCGAUGUCGUCUCUUCCCAACCUCCUGGUGCAGCAGCUGGGAAGGGUGGGGUUGUUCGCCCAUUAAAGGGGAUCGUGAGAUGGGUUUAGACCGUCGUGAGACAGGUUUGUUGCUUUGCGGUUGAGGCGUGUAAGAUGCCUGAUCGGAAGGGUCCUUUAGUACGAGAGGAACGAGGGCUCGGAGCCACUAGUUUACCAGUUGUCCGGCAGGGCAAUGCUGGGUAGCCACGCUCCAUGUGGAUAAGAGCUGAAAGCAUCUAAGCUCGAAGUCACCCGAAAGACGAGGCAUCUCAGGGGACUCGUAGAAGACGAGUUUGAUAGACAGCGGGUGUAAGCACCGAGGUUCGCCGAGGUGUUCAGCCCAGCUGCACUAACCCCCCGAGCAUUCAUU
RNAcentral lists this ribosomal RNA (1397 nucleotides) under marine metagenome. Its description in RNAcentral is "bacterial LSU rRNA". It matches the Rfam family "Archaeal large subunit ribosomal RNA", at positions 1567 to 2987 of the family's 2987-position model. The record is from RNAcentral.